Molecule: ribosomal RNA, 432 nt
Filed under: uncultured bacterium
Lineage: Bacteria
Description: partial 16S ribosomal RNA
Rfam family: Bacterial small subunit ribosomal RNA
Source: RNAcentral
AACGAACGCUGGCGGCAUGCCUAACACAUGCAAGUCGAACGAGACCUUCGGGUCUAGUGGCGCACGGGUGCGUAACGCGUGGGAACCUGCCCUUAGGUUCGGAAUAACUCCCCGAAAGGGGUGCUAAUACCGGAUAAUGUCUUCGGACCAAAGAUUUAUCGCCUUUGGAUGGGCCCGCGUUGGAUUAGCUAGUUGGUAGGGUAAAAGCCUACCAAGGCGACGAUCCAUAGCUGGUCUGAGAGGAUGAUCAGCCACACUGGGACUGAGACACGGCCCAGACUCCUACGGGAGGCAGCAGUGGGGAAUAUUGGACAAUGGGCGAAAGCCUGAUCCAGCAAUGCCGCGUGAGUGAUGAAGGCCUUAGGGUUGUAAAGCUCUUUUACCCGGGAUGAUAAUGACAGUACCGGGAGAAUAGCUCCGGCUAACUCCGUG